RNAcentral lists this ribosomal RNA (503 nucleotides) under uncultured bacterium. RNAcentral's name for it is "SSU rRNA". It matches the Rfam family "Bacterial small subunit ribosomal RNA", at positions 26 to 518 of the family's 1533-position model. The record is from RNAcentral.
AGGACGAACGCUGGCGGCGUGCCUAACACAUGCAAGUGGAGCGACGACCCGGGCUUCGGCCCGGUGCAAAGCCGCGAACGGGUGAGUAACACGUGGGUAACCUGCCCUGAUGAUUGGGACAACCCGAGGAAACUCGGGCUAAUACCGAAUGUGCCUUCUGGCCGUAAGGCCUCUGGGGAAAGGAAGCUUCGGCCUCCGCAUUGGGAUGGGCCCGCGGCCCAUUAGCUUGUUGGUGAGGUAACGGCUCACCAAGGCAACGAUGGGUAGCUGGUCUGAGAGGACGAUCAGCCACACUGGGACUGAGACACGGCCCAGACUCCUACGGGAGGCAGCAGUGGGGAAUCUUGCGCAAUGCGCGAAAGCGUGACGCAGCAACGCCGCGUGGGGGAAGAAGGCCUUCGGGUUGUAAACCCUUUCAGUUGGACGAAGCUUCGGCGGUGAUAGCCGCCUGGAGUGACGGUACCUUCAGAAGAAGCCCCGGCUAACUACGUGCCAGCAGCCGC